AGUAUUAGUUAUGCUCUUUUAAACCCAAAGAAUUUGGCGGUAUUUUAGGUCUAUUUAGAGGAAUUUGUUCCGUAAUCGAUAGUCCCCGUUUUAUCUUACUUAAAUUUGUAUUAUGAAAAGGUUAUUCAGUUUGUAUACCGCCGUUAUAAGUUUAUUUUUUUAGAAUGAGAAUUUACUUUAAAUUUAUUAUAUUUUAUUUCAGGUCAAGGUGCAGCUUAUAUUUAAAGUGUAGAAUGAAUUACAUUAUUAUUUUGAAUAUAUGAAUUUAAUGUUGUAAUAGACUUUAUUGAAGGUGGAUUUAAUAGUAAUUUUUUUAAUAUUAUUAUUUUGAUUUUAGCUCUAAAAUAAGUACACAUCGCCCGAUCGCUCU
RNAcentral lists this ribosomal RNA (370 nucleotides) under Pharnacia ponderosa. RNAcentral's name for it is "partial 12S ribosomal RNA". The record is from RNAcentral. Lineage: Eukaryota; Metazoa; Arthropoda; Insecta; Phasmatodea; Phasmatidae.